AACUGCAACAUCACUCCCUCCAGCCAUCUUUUUAAAAGCCUCUGGGCUGCUGGCCACAGCCCCACACGUGCCAGGUCCCUCCUUCUGCAGGGAACCCCUCCAUCCCUCCUCCCAGCUGUGCUCCUCUGCACCAUCUUUGAUGCACCACCUCCUGUGGGCUCUUCCAGCUUGUUACUCUGUCAGAAGAAAGAUGCCAUUCCUUGCUGGGGCCAUUGGACACUGAAACAUUUCUGUUUACCUGGAUGAAGUUGAUCUUCAUCCCCGUUGCUCCACAUGAGGAGAUAAUUAGGCCUCCUGUAGCAGCUUUGUGACUUCCUAGAAUGCACUGUGCCCUAUAGACCUGCUCAUUCUCUCAGUACUGAAGCAAGAUGAGUCCUGAGGAUUUACAUUAGCGUCUUGACAAUUGAGUUGAGCAUUAUCUGGAUGUAAAUGCAUUCAUCCAUAACAGAGGAAAAUCUCAAAUCCCAGCAUCAAAGAAUACUUCACUUUUUAAUGCUACAAAGUCAUGUUCCUUCCAGCAAAUCAACUGCUUAGUGGUUCACUGCAAAUGAAAGAUGUUGCUUGAUUCCUGGUUUAGAUACUUGUAUUGGAAACUUCCUUAAUACUUAUUAGAACCUGCUGAAUCUUAAAACACUUUAGGCAGAGAAGGGACUUAAGUACGUCAUUGGGAAAACAUCCCAGCUGCUUACCACAUGAGAGGAUUAAAGAUGACAAUCCAUCAGGGGUGUGAUGACUGUGUUUUUUAGAGCACAUUACUCUCUUGCAUCUAUUACAUGGAUUUCUGGGUUUUGUAUUCACGAUGCAACAGUCUGUUACGCAACAAAUGUCCACACGUACAUGGCCAUAUGAAGACUUGCACCCAGUAGCGAGGCAAGAAGAUAAGUCCAUUUUCUUUCCCUUUGAAAUUUCUCGGAGAUGAGCUGCUCCAUGUUUCCUAAGCCCUUUGAGCUGGUGUGCUGUACCUGUGUGGACGUGAAUGCCAAAUACCUGUCACCGUUCCAGCUCCUGUGGCUAGCAGCUUGAUCCUCCCACAGCUGUGCCCGUACAAAGCCAAAAGCAAGAAAAUCAGCCUGCUGCUGAAAUGCCAAAAUGUGGAACAGUUGCCUAGAACUGUAACUUGAGAGAGAUUAGAAAUAAGCCUAUCACAGGCACCAGUGAGCAACCCUAUGAAAAUAUCACUUUCCAAAAAAAAAUGAACCAUUAUUUUCUGCUGAACACUUAAAGCUUCAAGGCUUGCAGAACCUUG
Molecule: long non-coding RNA, 1246 nt
Filed under: Anas platyrhynchos platyrhynchos (common mallard)
Lineage: Eukaryota; Metazoa; Chordata; Aves; Anseriformes; Anatidae
Description: lncRNA (ENSAPLG00000018009.1)
Source: RNAcentral